GAGUUUGAUCCUGGCUCAGGAUGAACGCUGGCGGCGUGGAUAAGGCAUGCAAGUCGAGUGGGUUUAGACCCACGGCGAACGAGGUAGUAACACGUAGGUACGCACCCUUUAGUCGGGCAUAACUAGCCGAAAGGUUAGAUAAUUCUCGAUAGUCUCUUCGGAGUAAAGAUUUAUCGCUAAAGGAGCGGCCUGCGGGAUAUCAGCUAGUUGGUAGGGUAACGGCCUACCAAGGCUAUGACGUCUAGGGGAGCUGAGAGGCUGACCCCCACCGAUGGUACUGAGACACGGACCAUACACCUACGGGUGGCCGCAGUCGAGAAUCUUCCGCAAUGGGCGAAAGCCUGACGGAGCGACGCCGCGUGAUUGAUGAAGUCUUUCGGGAUGUAAAGAUCUUUUAUGAGGGAGAAAGUUUACUGAUAGUACCUCAUGAAUAAGGGGUUGCUAAACUCGUGCCAGCAGCAGCGGUAAUACGAGUGCCCCAAGCGUUAUCCGGAAUCAUUGGGCGUAAAGGGUGUGUAGGCGGCUGUGUUAGUCUCAUGUUAAAACUCCCGGCUUAACCGGGAAACCGCAUGGGAAACGGCACAACUAGAGGAUGCGAGAGGUCUGUGGAACUCAUGGAGUAGGGGUGAAAUCCGUUGAUAUCAUGGGGAACACCGAAAGCGAAGGCAACAGACUGGCGCACUCCUGACGCUGAAACACGAAAGCGUGGGUAGCGAAUGGGAUUAGAUACCCCAGUAGUCCACGCCCUAAACGAUGAUCACUAGCUUUUCGGAGUAUCGACCCUCUGAGAGGCGAAGCUAACGCGUUAAGUGAUCCGCCUGGGUAGUACGGCCGCAAGGCUAAAACUCAAAGGAAUAGACGGGGACUUGCACAAGCAGUGGAUUAUGUGGUUUAAUUCGACGAUAAACGAAGAACCUUACCAAGGUUAGAAAUCCAGUUGAAGACACGAGGAAACUUGUGUCGUCCGCAAGGACAAUUGGACAGGUGAUGCAUGGCCGUCGUCAGUUCGUGGUUUGAAUUGUUCCCUUAAGUGGGGUAACGAACGCAACCCUCGUUGCCAGUUUUAAAUGUCUGGCGAGACUGCCCCGUAUUCUGCGCACGAGCUCUUAUGGAAGAGUUCGCGAAUAGGAUACGGGGAGGAAGGUGAGGAUGACGCCAGGUCAGCAUGUCCCUCUGAUACCUUGGGCUACACACAUAAUACAAUGGCCGGUACAGCAGGUUGCGACGGAGUAAUCCUGAGCCAAUCCUUAUAAAGCCGGCCUCAGUUCGGAUUGAGGGCUGCAACUCGACCUCAUGAAGCUGGAAUUGCUAGUAAUCGCGGGUCAGCCAUACCGCGGUGAAUACGUUCUCAAGUCUUGUACACACCGCCCUC
Molecule: ribosomal RNA, 1372 nt
Filed under: uncultured Parcubacteria group bacterium
Lineage: Bacteria
Description: bacterial SSU rRNA
Rfam family: Bacterial small subunit ribosomal RNA
Source: RNAcentral